GAAAAAGGUUCCGGCCUCAGCCGGCGCACCUGGCGGAGGAGGAACCUCGCGACGCGCUCUCGGGCAUCGGUUUCUCCCAGCAAAGCUUGGAGGGUUUAGCUGCGCGGAGAGCUCAGCGAGCUCUUCUGUGUCUGUUUGGGGCGUGUGGGCUCCGGGAGCGUGAGGACCGGGAAGCUAGGAGGCUCCUUCCCUUCUGGCGGCUCCCUCACUGAGACCGGGCGGUUUGGUUGCGGGGGAAGUGGAGACGAGCCGCCCUUGACCUUUGACUGCAAGAACUCGCCUUGAGCAGGAUAGAGGCACGUGGACGGUGACCCUCGGGAUGCAAUAAAUGCUGAGACAGAUCAGGUGUGCAAGGCACAGAGCUAGAGGCCAGAGGCCUUUCUUCUCCAACCUUCAGUCACCUCUUUUUAAAGUGAAGCCAGCAUCCUCCUCGGGGUUUACUGUGAAAAUUAAGUGAGCUGACGCGUGCUGUGUUUUGAUGUUGCUUGGCUCCUACAAACAUUGAGUGGGCCAGACACUGUUCUGAAAAAUACGCAGUCGACUUUUGAACAGCACAGGCUUGAACUGCAUGCGGCCACUAAUACUCGGACUUUCUUCUGCCUUUGCCACCCCUAAGACAGCAAGACCCACCCCUCCUGCUCCUCAGCCUACUCGAUGUGAUGAUG
Molecule: non-coding RNA, 665 nt
Filed under: Pan troglodytes (chimpanzee)
Lineage: Eukaryota; Metazoa; Chordata; Mammalia; Primates; Hominidae
Source: RNAcentral